This is a long non-coding RNA of Gallus gallus (chicken), 1327 nucleotides long. NCBI's taxonomy places the organism in Eukaryota, Metazoa, Chordata, Aves, Galliformes, Phasianidae. The record is from Ensembl.
AAGGAAUUCCAAAAGGCUUCUCACAGCUGUUUCUUCCCACAGCAGUCAGAUCUAAGGUAAUGUAGCUGCACCCGAGCUCAAACACAGGCAGCUGAGCCCCUGGCACACCAGGAAAGGAUUUGACAAAACAAACAAAAAAAUCCUACUGUUAUAUUUUGCUCUGUUUGUCUUAAUCUUGUGGGGUGCCAAGAACCAUGUCAGACAAACAAAAACCAGCAGGCUCCAAAGCAUGUGAUUCCCGUGGACGCGUCAAUCCUAAACAAAUGGGAUCUGCAGUGCCCAGCUUCCAAACACAUUCUCUUCAGGUGCUCAAAAACACGCGUUAUCUUCACAGUCCCUCUCUAGUUGGGACAGCCAUUCUGAGGAGCCGAGGUGGUGACUGAGUAAAAGCUGCUCAGCUCUGUACUUGCUGAUGGGAGGAAAGAAUUAAGUAAAUAGUACACCGUGGCAGUAACACCAGAAAAGGUAUUAUCUGCCACUGGUGCUUUCCUGGCAAAUGAAGGCCGUCAGUCUCUUACCUUUGGUCUUGACCUUUAGAAAGAUGAUAUAUUUUUGCCACAACUAUAUCCUUUUUACAUAAAUUUGCGUGCCAGCCACUAUCUUAAGUUUUGCUUAACUGCAAUGCAAAUGAAGAAUAAAACGUUGGCAAACGUAAAACAUCCCUCAAACUAAAUAUCUAUGCAGAACACAAAUGAGUUCAUAGAAGGGGUAUCAAACCCAGUAGAAUUUCACAAAAUAGUAAUGGAUGUAUGGAUGAGCCUUUUUAAAAGUUUUGUUGCCAACACUCUACGACUUGGAGUAAAAACUAUCAUACUUAAAUGUUCAGUGUCUAACCCAACAUCUAGAAAUGCUAUAGAAAUCAAAUAAUGCUGGAAAUCUAUCAGAAAUCACCCAAGUAUCCUAAAAGCUCGGGAUGAACUUAGAAAAUGAGCUUAUAGCAAAAAGGAAUUUUCCACAGGCAAUUUGAUAACUCUUAGGAAUUAUACAGGAAAGGAAAAACAUCUGCAUGAAAUAAAUAAUGACUUGUACUACUCACAGCUGGAGGAACAUAAGGAAAGGAACCACAAAAACACUGCCCUAUAGCACUCGACUACAGAAGAGAAAAACUGAAAAUAUAAGCAAAAUGCUCAGAGCAGCCCAGGUUUCUGACAUUCAAUAGAACUGGAAGGAUUCAGAAGUGAGCGGUGAACAUUUGCAUAGGCAUUUCUGACAGAUCCUACUUGUUUGUCAGUAAAAAUUCAUCAAUACUAAAUUUAACUCAUUGCAAAGAUACUCAUCUUGGCUAAUUCUGAAAGAAACACUAGUGUACAUCUACAUGCAUAACUUC